RNAcentral lists this long non-coding RNA (619 nucleotides) under Mytilus galloprovincialis (Mediterranean mussel). The record is from RNAcentral. Lineage: Eukaryota; Metazoa; Mollusca; Bivalvia; Mytilida; Mytilidae.
UUCAUAGAAAAAGUGGUACAGUUUUAGCCGUAAAAGGAGUUCUUAUGGGAAAUUGCAUUGUCAAUAUUUACAGAAAUGCAACCUAUAUUGGGGAAAAAAAGAACCUACAGAAUUUAACCACAUUUGGUUUGUCUCACAGAUUUUAAUAGAAUUAACUCUAAUAUAAAGUGUUAUAAAUAUUUCAUGAAGAUUGAGAAAAUCCUUGGCCUUGACUAUGAUGACUACAGCAUAAAUUCACAGUUUACAGUAUACAUAAUUUACUUAAAGCCCUGAAUGCAAAAAAAAUCAUAAUAUAUGCAUAUUUGUAAGUUAAAUUGUUAAGAAGUGCUUAUACUUACUCUUCGCUGUCAUUGAAAUUCAUAGAUCCUUCCUCAAAAUUAUUGGUGGGAUGUUUUUGUCCUGUCCAUAACCCAAAAGUAAACCGUAACACCUAAAUCUGCUUGUUUGUCACCACGACAUAAACAAUCAAAGCUAGAAACACAAAAAUAUCUCAGUAAAACUUACAAUAGUGUGUCCUAUCCUGAAUAUGUACUUAAUAUUCCAUAUGGCUAGAAACAGCAGAAUAAUUUAGGACAUUUGAGGCCCCAGGGGCAAAAAACAGAGAAAAUUGCUUACACCC